RNAcentral lists this ribosomal RNA (324 nucleotides) under Triticum aestivum (bread wheat). RNAcentral's name for it is "partial small subunit ribosomal RNA". The record is from RNAcentral. Lineage: Eukaryota; Viridiplantae; Streptophyta; Magnoliopsida; Poales; Poaceae.
AUGACUAUAGCCCUUGGUAGAAUUCCUAAAGAAGAAAAUGAUCUAUUUGAUACUAUGGAUGACUGGUUACGAAGGGACCGUUUCGUUCUUGUAGGAUGGUCUGGCCUAUUGCUCUUUCCUUGUGCUUAUUUCGCUUUAGGGGGUUGGUUUACAGGGACAACUUUGGUAACUUCUUGGUAUACCCAUGGAUUGGCUAGUUCCUAUUUGGAAGGUUGUAAUUUAUUAACAACAGCAGUUUCUACCACGGUCAAUAGUUUAGCAACUCUUUGUUGCUACUAUGGGGGCCCGAGGCACAAGGAGAUUUUACUCGUUGGUGUCAAUUAG